Molecule: ribosomal RNA, 429 nt
Filed under: Chloroflexota bacterium
Lineage: Bacteria; Bacillati; Chloroflexota
Description: Chloroflexi bacterium partial 16S ribosomal RNA
Rfam family: Bacterial small subunit ribosomal RNA
Source: RNAcentral
UGGGGAAUAUUGCACAAUGGGCGCAAGCCUGAUGCAGCCAUGCCGCGUGUAUGAAGAAGGCCUUCGGGUUGUAAAGUACUUUCAGUCGGGAGGAAGGUGGUAAGGUUAAUAACCUUAUCAAUUGACGUUACCGACAGAAGAAGCACCGGCUAACUCCGUGCCAGCAGCCGCGGUAAUACGGAGGGUGCAAGCGUUAAUCGGAAUUACUGGGCGUAAAGCGCACGCAGGCGGUUGAUUGAGUCAGAUGUGAAAUACCCGGGCUUAAACCGGGAAUUGCAUCUGAUACUGGUCAGCUAGAGUCUUGUAGAGGGGGGUAGAAUUCCAUGUGUAGCGGUGAGAUGCGUAGAGAUGUGGAGGAAUACCGGUGGCGAAGGCGGCCCCCUGGACAAAGACUGACGCUCAGGUGCGAAAGCGUGGGGAGCAAACAGG